AUGGCUGCGGUAUUUUGACCGUGCAAAGGUAGCAUAAUCAUUAGUCUUUUAAUUAAAGGCUGGAAUGAAUGGUUUGACGAAAAAUAAGCUGUCUUAAAAAAUAAAAUUGAAAUUUAAUUCUUAGUAAAAAUGCUAAGAUAUUAUUAAGGGACGAGAAGACCCUAUAGAGUUUAAAAUAGUUAUAAAUAAUUUUAUUUUGGAAUAUAAAUUAUUUGUUAUUAUUUUUUGUUGGGGUGACAAGAGAAAAAAAAUAACUUCUUUUUAAUAUUGACUUAAAUAAUAGAAAUAUUAAUAUGAUCUUUUUUUAGAAAUUAUGAGAAAAAAUUACCUUAGGGAUAACAGCGUAAUUUUAUUUGAGAGUUCAAAUCGAUAAUAAAGUUUGCGACCUCGAUGUUGGAUUAAGAUUAUUAUUAGGUGAAGAAGUUUAAUAAAUAAGUCUGUUCGACUUUUAAAAUCUUACGUGAUCUGAGUUCA
Molecule: ribosomal RNA, 474 nt
Filed under: Gryllidae sp. BAH_28362_A06
Lineage: Eukaryota; Metazoa; Arthropoda; Insecta; Orthoptera; Gryllidae
Description: partial 16S ribosomal RNA
Rfam family: Bacterial large subunit ribosomal RNA
Source: RNAcentral